RNAcentral lists this ribosomal RNA (252 nucleotides) under uncultured bacterium. RNAcentral describes it as "partial 16S ribosomal RNA". It matches the Rfam family "Bacterial small subunit ribosomal RNA", at positions 524 to 776 of the family's 1533-position model. The record is from RNAcentral.
UACGUAGGUGGCAAGCGUUAUCCGGAAUUAUUGGGCGUAAAGAGGGAGCAGGCGGCAGCAAAGGUCUGUGGUGAAAGACUGAAGCUUAACUUCGGUAAGCCAUAGAAACCGGGCAGCUAGAGUGCAGGAGAGGAUCGUGGAAUUCCAUGUGUAGCGGUGAAAUGCGUAGAUAUAUGGAGGAACACCAGUGGCGAAGGCGACGAUCUGGCCUGCAACUGACGCUCAGUCCCGAAAGCGUGGGGAGCAAAUAGG